GAUGAAGAACGUAGCGAAAUGCGAUACUUGGUGUGAAUUGCAGAAUCCCGUGAACCAUCGAGUCUUUGAACGCAAGUUGCGCCCGAAGCCAUUAGGCCGAGGGCACGCCUGCCUGGGCGUCACACGUCGUUGCUCCCCCAUCUACUCCUUCGGGAUUGCGGGGGGCGGAUGAUGGCCUCCCGUGCGCCUCGUCGCGCGGUUGGCAUAAAUGCCAAGUCCUCGGCGACGCACGCCACGACAAUCGGUGGUUGCGAAACCUCGGUUGCCCGUCGUGUGCGGUCGUCGCGCAUCGAGGGCUCGAAAAAAGUGUCGGGCUCCGGCUCGGCUUUCAACGCGACCCCAGGUCAGGCGGGGUUACCCGCUGAAUUUAAGCAUAUCAAUAAGGGGAGGA
RNAcentral lists this unclassified non-coding RNA (391 nucleotides) under soil metagenome. RNAcentral's name for it is "partial contains 5.8S ribosomal RNA, internal transcribed spacer 2, and large subunit ribosomal RNA". The stretch from base 1 to 122 matches the Rfam family "5.8S ribosomal RNA", at positions 35 to 154 of the family's 154-position model. The record is from RNAcentral.